This 474-nucleotide ribosomal RNA is filed under the name uncultured bacterium. Its description in RNAcentral is "bacterial SSU rRNA". It matches the Rfam family "Bacterial small subunit ribosomal RNA", at positions 355 to 825 of the family's 1533-position model. The record is from RNAcentral.
UAGGGAAUAUUGCGCAAUGGACGAAAGUCUGACGCAGCCACGCCGCGUGAGUGAGGAAGGCCUUCGGGUUGUAAAGCUCUGUCGCCUGGGAAAAACGGCUAUCCGGGGAAAGUUCGGGUAGCGUGAUGGUACCAGGAAAGGAAGCACCGGCAAACUCUGUGCCAGCAGCCGCGGUAAUACAGAGGGUGCAAGCGUUGUUCGGAAUUACUGGGCGUAAAGCGUGCGUAGUCGGUAUUGAGAGUCGCGGGUGGAAUCCCAGGGCUUAACCCUGGAACUGCCUGCGAGACCUCAGUACUAGAGUGUGAGAGGGGAUAGUGGAAUACCCGGUGUAGCGGUGAAAUGCGUAGAUAUCGGAAGGAACAUCGGUGGCGAAGGCGUCUACCUGGCCUAAUACUGACACUGAGGCACGAAAGCGUGGGGAGCAAACAGGAUUAGAUACCCAAGUAGUCCCUGAGCGGGCUGGGCAAGGCGCAU